GCCACUGCGGGAGGCAGGGGAGCCUGGGGCUCAACCAGCGCAGCGUCGAUCCGGUCGCCAAUCCGAUGUGCUGGGCCAAUGGCGAGACCGACCCGCGGAGCG
RNAcentral lists this non-coding RNA (102 nucleotides) under unclassified sequences. RNAcentral describes it as "c-di-GMP sequence". It matches the Rfam family "c-di-GMP-II-GAG riboswitch aptamer". The record is from Rfam by way of RNAcentral.